RNAcentral lists this long non-coding RNA (512 nucleotides) under Homo sapiens (human). Its description in RNAcentral is "HSALNT0138573". Lineage: Eukaryota; Metazoa; Chordata; Mammalia; Primates; Hominidae. The record is from RNAcentral.
CCACAAAGAACAAUAGUGCCGAGUUUGAGAAACCCUGGUCUACAUUCUGAACUCUGGAAUCAUGCUCCAGCCUUUCCUUAAUAGGGCAUAAAAAAUUCUUCACAUUUUGAAACAACUGGAAAAGGAAUAAGCCAGUUUCAAAUGUACACCACUUACAAUAGUUUUUCUUUUGAUAUUAAAAAUGCUUAAAGAUGGGGAAAUCAUUAAAGCUUUUUUACCUUCAAAGACACAAUAAGAAAUUAAUCCAAUAAAAAUAAACCACGAUUGCUCCACAUUGCCACUGCAGAUGGGCUGCUAUUUCAGUGAACAAGGGCAGCACUAAAAUGGGGCCCAUCGUGUUGAUAAUCCAUUCAGUACUACUGCUAAUAUCCAUAAAGUAAUUCCUUUUCUGGGAUAGAAAAGAAUAAAAAAUUACCACAUAUAGAGACCUUGCAUCUGUGGAUGAUUAUAUACAUGUACCCAGUAAUAAAAUUUUUCUAGCUUUACAGCUAUCUGGGGAGAAGUUUAGGACC